GAGGCACGAAAGUGUGGGGAUCAAACAGGAUUAGAUACCCUGGUAGUCCACACUGUAAACGAUGAUAACUCGCUGUCGGCGAUACACAGUCGGUGGCCAAGCGAAAGCAUUAAGUUAUCCACCUGGGGAGUACGACCGCAAGGUUGAAACUCAAAGGAAUUGACGGGGGCCCGCACAAGCGGAGGAACAUGUGGUUUAAUUCGAUGAUACGCGAGGAACCUUACCCGGGCUCGAACGGUGCAUGAAUAUACGAGAGAUUGUAUAGUCCUUCGGGACAUGUAUCGAGGUGCUGCAUGGUUGUCGUCAGCUCGUGCCGUGAGGUGUCGGCUUAAGUGCCAUAACGAGCGCAACCCUUGUCAUUAGUUGCCAUCAGGUCAAGCUGGGGACUUUAAUGAGACUGCCACCGUAAGGUGUGAGGAAGGGGGGGAUGACGUCAAAUCAGCACGGCCCUUAUGUCCGGGGCGACACACGUGUUACAAUGGGAGGUACAGAGGGCAGCUAUCCGGUGACGGAAUGCUAAUCUCCAAAACCUUUCUCAGUUCGGAUUGGAGUCUGCAACUCGACUCCAUGAAGGUGGAUUCGCUAGUAAUCGCGCAUCAGCCAUGGCGCGGUGAAUACGUUCCCGGGCCUUGUACACACCGCCCGUCAAGCCAUGGAAGCUUGGGGUGCCUGAAGUUCGUGACCGCAAGGAGCGACCUAAGGCAAAACAGGUAACUGGGGCUAAGUCGUAACAAGGUAGCCGUAAAGGG
Molecule: ribosomal RNA, 749 nt
Filed under: uncultured bacterium
Lineage: Bacteria
Description: bacterial SSU rRNA
Rfam family: Bacterial small subunit ribosomal RNA
Source: RNAcentral